AUGUUCUCAGACGGUGAAUCUUUGAAAACUCUCAGAGGAUGGUGGUUUGGAAAUCCAGCCUCCACCAAGCCCUUCUCAGGCCUGUCAGAGCCAGGGUCUUGGGGCUGGAGUGAACACAGUGUGCUGAGGUCUUGAUCUGGGAGACACCUCGAUCAAGGACCUGGGAAGCUUCAUAUUUAAGAAAUGGAAGAUAAGGAGGGCCCGAAGAGGGGCCCGAACUGCCUGAAACCAGAAAUCAGAGAUGCAGCCCAGAAGAGCCAACUGGAGCCCAGCCUGUUGACUUUCUGCUGAAGUCAACAACCUCCUCCCCCGACCUGGGACAGGGGAUCCAGAGAGAGGAGGGAGAUCCAUGGGACACCCGUCGAGCUGAUCUUGCUCUUACUGAAAACCCGAGGUCCCCAGCUUCAGGACUCAGCUGGGAGUCUCAGUGGAGAGGCAACACUGCUGAGGAAAAGGCCUUCUGGGAAUCCUUUGGAAGCAGCGCAAUACAGGGAAGAAGGGAACGUGAAUUUUGGAGUCUUGCGGCCCUCCUCUGAACUCUGGCU
Neogale vison (American mink) is the source of this 545-nucleotide long non-coding RNA. RefSeq lists it as uncharacterized. The transcript has 3 exons. NCBI's taxonomy places the organism in Eukaryota, Metazoa, Chordata, Mammalia, Carnivora, Mustelidae. The record is from RefSeq and is a predicted model, not a curated record.